UGCUUCCCGUGUCUCUGACUCGCAGGUGGCCGUGUCAUCAACACCAACUGCUCGGCGGUGCGCACCCGUCAGGCCCUCUGCUGCAAGAUGUCCGUGGAGUACGACAAGUUCAUUGAGUCCGGGCGCAAGUACGCGGCGCUGACCCGACCCGCAGAGAGCCCAGAGCCAAGCUGGGUGGGGGCCUCCUGUCCAGCCGUGCCAGGCCCUCGUGCCCAGGACUCCCCUCGCCCACAGGUGGUUCUGCCACGUGGAUGACGACAAUUAUGUGAACCCCAGGAGCCUCCUGCAUCUGCUCUCCAGCUUCUCACCCAGCCAGGACGUCUACCUGGGGCGGCCCAGCCUGGACCACCCCAUCGAGGCCACCGAGAGGGUCCAGGGUGGCAGAACUGUGAGUGUCGGAGCAGACUCCUUCCUUCACACCAGCCCGGGAGGCACAGCAGAGAGCAUGGAAAGCUGUCUUGAGAAGGGCAUAGGGUUGGGAGCCCAAGCUGAUCUACCCAGGUGGUUUGCAUGUGGUGUUUCAGGAGCAGGCCAGGAGGCCCUCACCUUACUGGGCAGAGAGGGGGUGUCUGGGCCAGGUGAGGAGGGUCUGGAGGCCACGGGUCAAUGGCCUGCAGAAACCCCCGGCCCUUCUUGCCCCAGGAAGCUUCUGUUACCUGGGUGGGAUCUCCUAAGGGGCAGCUUAAUAAAGAUGCCUGGGGAAUCCCAUGAAGAGUCAGGGCUGAGAAGCCUUGUCCCGGGCAGCUCUGACUGGCACCCCAUCUUCAGGUGACUACGGUGAAGUUCUGGUUUGCUACUGGUGGGGCCGGUUUCUGCCUCAGCAGAGGCCUUGCUCUCAAGAUGAGCCCAUGGGCCAGGUGAGUGGGGGUCCAGCUGCCUGGGCUGGGAGGCGGAGGCUGAGACCUGAAAGGUGCUGACCGGCCUCCCCCCAGCCUGGGCAGCUUCAUGAGCACAGCUGAGCAGGUGCGGCUGCCGGAUGACUGCACAGUGGGCUACAUCGUGGAGGGACUCCUGGGCGCCCGCCUGCUGCACAGCGCCCUCUUCCACUCUCACCUGGAGAACCUGCAGAGGCUGCCGCCGGACACCCUGCUCCAGCAGGUACAGGCGCCACUCCGGGUGCCUCUGCCACAUGGGCUUUGCCCCACCCUGACUACCCCAGGGGCCCCACUGCCCCGGCCCGAUGUCCGGCUGAGCAGGCAGGUGGGAUUUGCAUGUGGCUGGGGGUGGACCCUGGACAGGCCCCUUGGCCUGCUGGACACAGGGUCCUCAGGUACAGAUGGGGUAUGGUGUCUGGGGCAGAGGAACGAGGGGAGGAGCACAGUUCUCGGGCCAGGGAGGCCCCAUGCCAGCUGGGCAGUGGGUGUGGUCUGUAUGGUGAUGGUGAGUCGGAGCAGGUCCCAUCACAUGGAGCAGGGAGGGAAUGAGGGUCAGCUUUGCUCUGGAGGUUUCAGAUCCCUACUUUCUGUCCCCCAGGCUCCACCUGAGGUGUCCCCCUGCUCAGCUCAUGCCACGCUUCAAUGCUGUUCCCAAGCUUGGCCUCCCCAAGGACUUGGGGAGAAGGGGGUGGGCAAGGGGGCUCUAGCAGGGCUCCUGGCCAGGGGGAGGCAUGGCCCGAGACCAGACCAGGCCACACACUCUGCCCACACCGUCCUCUCCCAGGUUACCUUGAGCUAUGGGGGUCCUGAGAACCCACAUAACGUAGUGAACGUGGCUGGAGGCUUCAGCCUGCAUCAGGACCCCACACGGUGAGUGGGUAGUGGCAUGGGUAGGCCCUAAGCCCCACAGGGGCUCUGGCAUCAGCACGCCCACCCACAGCCCUGACCCCCACUUCUCCCUCUACUCACAGCUCUGACCCCCACUUCUCCCUCCACCCACAGCCCUGACCCCACUUCUCCCUCCACCACAGCCCUGAUCCCCAGUGCUCCCUCCUCCCACAGCCCUGACCCCCACUUCUCCCUCCACCCACAGCCCUGACCCCCACUUCUCCCUCUACCCACAGCCCUGAUCCCCACUUCUCCCUCUACCCAUAGCCCUGACCCCCACUUCUCCCUCCACCCACAGCCCUGACCCCCACUUUUUCCUUCCCCAGGUUUAAGUCUAUCCACUGCCUUCUCUACCCAGACACGGACUGGUGUCCCAGGCAGAAGCAGGGCGCCCCGACCUCUCGGUGACACCAACCACCCCUGACCCAGGGCUGCCUGGCUCUGUCCCAGGCGCGGGGAGCCAGAGCCCCCUAUGGCCUCGGUGGGCUCCCUCAGAUGCCAUGGCUACACCAGUGAGAUGCAGGCACCUGGCAGACCCUCUGGCUAACCUGCAGCCCCCCCCUCCCAGCCCCUGGUGGGCUGCGGUGAUGGGUGUUUUGGGAGAACGAAGACAGCUAGGCUGAUGGCCAGGGCCGCAGUGCCCCUCCCCCCGACCCAGCCGCAGAGUUGAUCCCAUGGGAACAGGCUUCUACCCCAGCACUUGAGCACCUGGGAGGGAGCUGCCAUCCAGGCUCCAUUACCUGUUGCUGAAGGCGGGUGCUAGGCUGAUUAGGUGCCGAAGAGCAGGCUCCAAGCCAAGGUCCUGGCCCAGCCACGGCCAUUGCAAGGGCUCAGCCUGGCAGGCUUUGUGGGGGACGCCGCCCUCUCUGCCGCAGGCCGGGUGCAUGGCCGGGCACCACAGUGGGACUCAGGCUCGGGAAGGUCAUGCUCUCGGCCAGAGCUUUGCUCCCAGUCCGGGCGCUUCAUUCGGAGGCCUCUUGACUGGGACCACAGAGAUGUUUUCUCUGCUCUGACUUGUGGCUCGGGACUACUUUCUGGGUCGUGCUCCUGCCCCACCGUGCCUGGGCCCGUAAACAACAGGAGUCUUUGUUCCGCUGACCUGCCCAUCCCACCUCCCUGCCUGGUGCCUUCCAUGGAGGGAAAUGGGACAGGGGCCGUCAUCUCCCCUCUGCCUCCUGCUUUGCUGUUGCCGAGCACGAGUAAAGUCUCUGUCCUUACUCCA
RNAcentral lists this small RNA (2985 nucleotides) under Pongo abelii (Sumatran orangutan). RNAcentral describes it as "retained intron". Lineage: Eukaryota; Metazoa; Chordata; Mammalia; Primates; Hominidae. The record is from RNAcentral.